UUUUGAAAUCCCUCAUUCUGGUAGAAAAAAGAAGAGUGACGGGUUUAAUUUGAAUUCUUCAUUUCUCAGCAUGAAUAAUACGCUCUCUGUCUUCGAUUUCUCCUUCACAGUGUCUUCUACCUCUCCUUCAUCUCUUUCCUUCUUUUAACUUUUUCUUUAAGAUUCUCUUCUUUGUUCCUGUCCAAUUCCUGGUUGUUCGUCACCUGUGGCGUUGUUUUGCUCAGAGUAAAUGAGAAGAGGACCUUGUUCGAGAGUGCCGCAUUCGUGGAACGCUACCUGCAAUCCAUAAAUUCAAUUGAAAUUGAAGAUGUUGAUUAUUGACUCGGCGUAAAUUAGAGAGUAGUGAGGAUGGAUACUAUGAAGUAGAAAGAGAGCAAGUCAUGCCUUUCGAUUUAUCUGCCUUGGAAGUUCAAUCAUCAAUCUUGAGUUAAAGCUUUUAAGCACCAAGAGUUCAGGUCCAAAAUAGUUGCUGGGUCACUGGGGCUUGGAAUGGAACACUAAAAAUGGUAAAGCAUGUGUA
Non-coding RNA from Carica papaya (papaya), 520 nucleotides. Lineage: Eukaryota; Viridiplantae; Streptophyta; Magnoliopsida; Brassicales; Caricaceae. The record is from RefSeq and is a predicted model, not a curated record.